CCGAGUGCAGCCAGAUGGAGGAGGGAUCGAGGCCGGACAGGAGGGAGCUGGAGGACAUCCUGAGACAGGUGUCGGAGCUGGGGCGGUGGAGGGGAGCGCGGCGGCUCCGCGGGUGGGGACCGCGCCUUCGUCCUCCUCCUCCUCAUCAUCAUCAUCAUCUUCUUCUUCUUCUUCCUCCUCCUCUUUCGAUCGAUGUUCUCCGCUCGAACCCGUGUUUCACACAAAUCGGCCGUGUUCUCUAUUCUCCCUUCGCUCACGGGCUGGACUCGCACACUUGUUUUGUGAAGAAGCCUGUGGAAAGGGGCAAAGCGGAAGGAGACGGGGAGGACGCACCUAGGAGACCACCUUCCCGCACCCAGCACCCCCGCGGUCUCCCCACCCUCCCGUCGCCGCCCUUCUCGGUCCCUCGGACCCUGACCAUCUCCCCCGGCCCGGGGGGUCUCCCCGUGAGUGCCGAGCAGGCUGUGGUAAGUCCGGGACCCGAGCCGUAAUGCGACACCUGCGUGUGCAGAUGUGCGCAUCGACCGCAACCGCGUCCC
This 539-nucleotide long non-coding RNA is filed under the name Scleropages formosus (Asian bonytongue). RNAcentral's name for it is "lncRNA (ENSSFOG00015033239.1)". Lineage: Eukaryota; Metazoa; Chordata; Actinopteri; Osteoglossiformes; Osteoglossidae. The record is from RNAcentral.